Molecule: ribosomal RNA, 425 nt
Filed under: uncultured bacterium
Lineage: Bacteria
Description: bacterial SSU rRNA
Rfam family: Bacterial small subunit ribosomal RNA
Source: RNAcentral
GAAUAUUGGACAAUGGGGGGAACCCUGAUCCAGCCAUGCCGCGUGUGUGAAGAAGGCCUUUUGGUUGUAAAGCACUUUAAGCGAGGAGGAGGCUACUCUAGUUAAUACCUAGGGAUAGUGGACGUUACUCCUAGAAAACGCACCGGCUAACCCUGUCCCAGCAGCCGCGGGAAUACAGCGGGGGCAAGCGUUAAUCGGAUUUACUGGGCGUAAAGCGCGCGUAGGUGGCCAAUUAAGUCAAAUGUGAAAUCCCCGAGCUUAACUUGGGAAUAGCAUUCGAUACCGGUUGGCUAGAGUAUGGGAGAGGAUGGUAGAAUUCCAGGUGUAGCGGUGAAAUGCGUAGAGAUCUGGAGGAAUACCGAUGGCGAAGGCAGCCAUCUGGCCUAAUACUGACACUGAGGUGCGAAAGCAUGGGGAGCAAACAG